Molecule: ribosomal RNA, 403 nt
Filed under: uncultured bacterium
Lineage: Bacteria
Description: partial 16S ribosomal RNA
Rfam family: Bacterial small subunit ribosomal RNA
Source: RNAcentral
AUUGAACGCUGGCGGCAGGCCUAACACAUGCAAGUCGAGCGAGCGGCGGAUGGGUGAGUAAUGUAUGGGGACUGCCCGAUAGAGGGGGAUAACUACUGGAAACGGUGGCUAAUACCGCAUACUAUCGGAUAACCCAUAUGGGAUUAGCUAGUAGGGGGGGUAAAGGCUCACCAAGGCGACGAUGCCUAGCUGGUCUGAGAGGAUGAUCAGACACACUGGGACUGAGACACGGCCCAGACUCCUACGGAGGCAGCAGUGGGGAAUAUUGCGCAAUGGGCGCAAGCCUGAUGGAGCCAUGCCGCGUGUAUGAAGAAGGCCUUCGGGUUGUAAAGUACUUUCAGCGGGGAAGCGUUACCCGACGAAGAAGCAACGGCUAACUCCGUGCCAGCAGCCGCGGUAAUAC